CCCCUAAAAAUUCCAGCAACGGCUCUACUUCAGGAGAAUCUGGCAGUGGCGGCGAUGGUGCUUCUACUUGAGGUGAAUCUGGUCAGAACAAAGGAGAGAGAACUUGUUUUCUUAUAUUAUCACAAAAAGAUCCAUCAGGCUACAACAACACACAACAAGUGUAAAGUUUCUUGGCUCUACUAAAAACUCAAAAGUCAAAGUUGGAUCAAUCAUCACCAUAGGCCUUGAAACAAUACCGCUCAAUAUAAGGAGCGUUAAAGAAAAGAUCAGCUUCCAACCAUUUCGGAUACCGAACAAGAUCUCCAGCUAAAAACUGCAUAUACCUCUUGCUUCCUUCGGGAACAACUCGAACCUCUCCUUGUUCAAUGUAAACCAACUGAUCCACCUGCCAAUCCCAUGGCAAUUUGCAUUUCCCUGUCUUCCAAACUGACCAUCUCGAAACCCCAAGUUCCUCCAACCGUUUCUGUGAAACUUUCCGUUCCACUUUAACAUUUGACAGAACCUGGGAAUGGUGUAGUCAUUAUCAGACUUGCCAUGGCUGCUUUUAUCCAAUCUUGUCAAACCUGAGAUCCACAAUGAACUUUAAAUAACACAUAUCGAAAACAUUGUGAUGUGUUAAAGUCUUGUAACUCCUGAAACAGAGAAAGAAGGAAAUUAGCUAAUGCCCAUUUGCUAUUUCGAUUGGAAAAGUGAAAACUCAUCGCAAAAUUGAUGAUAUACGAAUUUAACCCAACAAGCAAAAAAAAGGUUGUCGAUUUCAAAACCAAAAAAAAAAGCGGAAGACAGAUUAUACGCAUCGAAAUCGAAUUUCUUACCAGCGGAAGUGUGAGUGAGAGUAACCCUUAAACCCUGAAGCAGUCAGGCUUAUCCGAUCCCCGAUAUAAUAAAUGUUACAGAAACGACCCUAAUAUUUAUAUUUGUUUUAACUUUAGACUAGAAGUUUGUUUUGAGUUAAUGUGACCCAAAUAUUUUUUCUAUAGACGUAACGUUUUCAGAUUUGACGU
Molecule: long non-coding RNA, 1004 nt
Organism: Arabidopsis thaliana (thale cress)
Lineage: Eukaryota; Viridiplantae; Streptophyta; Magnoliopsida; Brassicales; Brassicaceae
Product: other RNA
Exons: 4
Source: RefSeq